GUUAGAUAUUCAUCUGUCCACAGUUAGACAAACUGUCUAUAAAUGGAGGUGAUUUAGUACUAUAGGUACUCUCUCUAGAAGUGGCCGUUAGAUAUUCAUCUGUCCACAGUUAGACAAACUGUCUAUAAAUGGAGAUGAUUUAGUACUAUAGGUACUCUCUCUAGAAGUGGCCGUUAGAUAUUCAUCUGUCCACAGUUAGACAAACUGUCUAUAAAUGGAGGUGAUUUAGUACUAUAGGUACUCUCUCUAGAAGUGGCCGUUAGAUAUUCAUCUGUCCACAGUUAGACAAACUGUCUAUAAAUGGAGAUGAUUUAGUACUAUAGGUACUCUCUCUAGAAGUGGCCGUUAGAUAUUCAUCUGUCCACAGUUAGACAAACUGUCUAUAAAUGGAGAUGAUUUAGUACUAUAGGUACUCUCUCUAGAAGUGGCCGUUAGAUAUUCAUCUGUGCACAGUUAGACAAACUGUCUAUAAAUGGAGGUGAUUUAGUACUAUAGGUACUCUCUCUAGAAGUGGCCGUUAGAUAUUCAUCUGUCCACAGUUAGACAAACUGUCUAUAAAUGGAGAUGAUUUAGUACUAUAGGUACUCUCUCUAGAAGUGGCCGUUAGAUAUUCAUCUGUCCACAGUUAGACAAACUGUCUAUAAAUGGAGAUGAUUUAGUACUAUAGGUACUCUCUCUAGAAGUGGCCAUUAGAUAUUCAUCUGUGCACAGUUAGACAAACUGUCUAUAAAUGGAGGUGAUUUAGUACU
Molecule: long non-coding RNA, 749 nt
Organism: Xyrauchen texanus (razorback sucker)
Lineage: Eukaryota; Metazoa; Chordata; Actinopteri; Cypriniformes; Catostomidae
Exons: 3
Source: RefSeq, a predicted model, not a curated record